RNAcentral lists this ribosomal RNA (240 nucleotides) under uncultured bacterium. RNAcentral's name for it is "partial 16S ribosomal RNA". It matches the Rfam family "Bacterial small subunit ribosomal RNA", at positions 15 to 250 of the family's 1533-position model. The record is from RNAcentral.
GAUCCUGGCUCAGAUUGAACGCUGGCGGCAGGCCUAACACAUGCAAGUCGAACGGUAACAGGAAGCAGCUUGCUGCUUUGCUGACGAGUGGCGGACGGGUGAGUAAUGUCUGGGAAUCUGCCUGAUGGAGGGGGAUAACUACUGGAAACGGUAGCUAAUACCGCAUAACGUCGCAAGACCAAAGAGGGGGGACCUUCGGGCCUCUUGCCAUCGGAUGUGCCCAGAUGGGAUUAGGCUAGG